RNAcentral lists this non-coding RNA (22 nucleotides) under Arabidopsis thaliana (thale cress). The record is from RNAcentral. Lineage: Eukaryota; Viridiplantae; Streptophyta; Magnoliopsida; Brassicales; Brassicaceae.
UACAAGCGUAGAGUUAAGAUGC